AACGAACGCUGGCGGCAUGCCUAACACAUGCAAGUCGAACGAGACCUUCGGGUCUAGUGGCGCACGGGUGCGUAACGCGUGGGAAUCUGCCCUCUGGUACGGAAUAACUCAGGGAAACUUGAGCUAAUACCGUAUAAUGACUUCGGUCCAAAGAUUUAUCGCCUGAGGAUGAGCACGCGUCGGAUUAGCUAGUUGGUGAGGUAAAGGCUCACCAAGGCGACGCUCCGUAGCUGGUCUGAGAGGAUGAUCAGCCACACUGGGACUGAGACACGGCCCAGACCCCUCCGGGAGGCAGCAGUGGGGAAUAUUGGACAAUGGGCGAAAGCCUGAUCCAGCAAUGCCGCGUGAGUGAUGAAGGCCUUAGGGUUGUAAAGCUCUUUUACCCGGGAUGAUAAUGACAGUACCGGGAGAAUAAGCCCCGGCUAACUCCGUGCCAGCCGCCGCGGUAA
RNAcentral lists this ribosomal RNA (449 nucleotides) under uncultured bacterium. RNAcentral's name for it is "partial 16S ribosomal RNA". It matches the Rfam family "Bacterial small subunit ribosomal RNA", at positions 29 to 523 of the family's 1533-position model. The record is from RNAcentral.